AUGGGGGACACGGUGGUGCUCAACCCCGGGCUCGGCGUGGGCCACCUGGUGCCCAUGGUGGAGCUGGCCAGGCCCUUCCUGCGCGGCGGCCUCGCCGUCACCGUCAUCGUCAACGUCCCGCCGGGCAAGGCCACGGACACCUCGGCCGCCGUCGCGCGCGCCGCGGCGGCCAACCCGUCCGUCCGCUUCCACGUGCUGCCCACGCCGCCGGACGCCGACGCCGACGCGGUGGCCCCGGACGCCGCCGAGGCGCCCAACCCCUUCGUCCUCCUGCGCCGCAUGAACGCGCCGCUCCGUGACUACCUCCGCUCGGUGCUGCCCUCCGUGCGCGCCCUCGUCCUCGACAUGUUCUGCUUCUGCGCGGACGCCGUCGACGUCGCCGCCGACCUCGGCGUGCCGGUCUACGUCUUCUACACCGGCAGCGCCAGCAGCCUCGCGGUCAACCUCUACCUCCCGCGCAUGCAGGCCCAGAUCGGCGACGCCAGCCUCGGCGAGAUCGGCGACGCGCCGCUCUCCUUCCCCGGGAACCGCCCCUUCAAGCCCACCGACCUCCCCGGGCUCGCGCUCGACCGCCACAACGAGGUGUACAAGAGCUUCCUGCACGCGUUCCAGCGGAUCCCGGAGUCCCGGGGCAUCGUCAUCAACAGGUUCGAGUGGCUGGAGGGCAGGGCGCUGCGCGCGCUCCGGGACGGCGCGUGCGUCCCCGGCCGCGCCACGCCGCCGGUGUACUGCGUCGGGCCCAUGAUCUCAGCCGGCGGCGGUGGCGGUGGCGGUGAAGAGAAGAAGCACGAGUGCCUGGCGUGGCUGGACGCGCAGCCGGAGAAGAGCGUCGUGUUCCUCUGCUUCGGGAGCAUGGGCACCUUCCCCAAGACGCAGCUGGAGGAGAUCGCCGUCGGGAUGGAGCGGUCCGGGCAGAGAUUCCUGUGGGUGGUGCAGAGCCCGCGCAGCGCGGACGGCGGGCCGGACCUGCUCGCGGACGCGCUCGCCGAGCCGGACCUCGCCGCGCUGCUGCCGGAGGGGUUCCUGGAGCGGACCGGCGGCCGCGGCCUGGUCGUCAAGUCGUGGGCGCCGCAGGCGGACGUGCUGCGCCACCGCGCGACGGGCGCCUUCGUGACGCACUGCGGGUGGAACUCGACGCUGGAGGCGAUCGUGGCGGGCCAGCCGCUCAUCUGCUGGCCGCUGUACGCGGAGCAGAGGCAGAACAAGGUGUUCGUGGUGGAGGAGAUGGGCGCCGGCGUGGAGAUGGCCGGGUACGACGGGGAGGUGGUGGCGGCGGCGGAGGUGGAGGCCAAGGUGCGGUGGGUGAUGGAGUCCAAGGGCGGGGAGGCGCUGCGGGAGCGAGCCAUGGCGGCCAAGGAGAAGGCGCUCGAGGCGCUGCAGGAAGGUGGAGCAUCCCGGACGGCGUUUGCUGAGUUUCUUAGAGAUCUUUAG
This 1431-nucleotide ribosomal RNA is filed under the name Triticum aestivum (bread wheat). RNAcentral describes it as "partial small subunit ribosomal RNA". Lineage: Eukaryota; Viridiplantae; Streptophyta; Magnoliopsida; Poales; Poaceae. The record is from RNAcentral.